UGAAUGUAAGAAGCAUCAUGGUGACUGGUGAUAAUUGGGGAACUGCAAGUUCCAUUGCUAGUCAAAUUGGCAUUGAAACUGUUGUUGCAGAAGCUAAACCUGAACAAAAAGCAGAGAAAGUAAAAGAGUUACAAGCGGAAGGUUAUGCUGUGGCAAUGGUAGGGGAUGGCAUCAAUGAUUCGCCGGCACUUGUAGCCGCCGAUGUCGGUAUGGCAAUCGGUGCAGGAACAGAUAUUGCAAUAGAAGCAGCUGAUAUAGUUCUGAUGAAGAGUAAUUUAGAGGAUGUGAUCACAGCCAUACACCUUUCCAGGAAAACAUUUUCUCGUAUUCGCCUCAACUAUAUUUGGGCAUUGGGGUAUAAUAUACUUGGGAUUCCAAUAGCUGCAGGGGCUCUAUUUCCAUCAACUGGAUUUCGUUUACCUCCAUGGAUUGCUGGAGCUGCCAUGGCUGCUUCCUCUGUUAGUGUUGUUUGCUGCUCACUCUUGUUAAAGAAUUACGAGAGACCCAAGAAGCUAGAAAACCUUGAGAUUGGUGGAAUACAGAUUGAAUAAUAGAUGAUGGGCGUUCUAUAUAUCCACUUAUAUAUCUAUGCAGGUUUGUUAUAUGUGUAUAUGUAUAGGUUAGGGAUGUGAAAUUUGGCAGACUAAAUAAUAAAGGUAUCAUGCAAAUACUGGUUUCACUAGGCUGCCAAUUUAUGUACAUAUAUUUGGCGUUAUGAUUUUCAGGAUAUAACUGUAGUUUCAAAAUUAGGCGAUCUUUGCAUCAUUGCAUGAUGAAAGGUUUUUUUUUUCUUCUAUAAUACUAAUUUUAUAAAUUAGUAAAAUAUAUUUAAAUUAUUAAAGUAGUAAUAAAAAUAUAUAAAUAAAUUAAUGCAUGAAGUUUAUUUAGUUGGAUUCUAUUAGUGUUUGAGUUGAUAAUUUAUCAGUAAAAGUACGAUGGAAUCUAUUGAAUUUAGGAUGGACUACAUUUUGGACUCUUUAUUGAAAAAUAAGUAAAUUAGUCCUUAUGCAUUUAGAAACGCGCAAAUUAACCUUUCCAUUAAAUUUUAGCUGUUAAAUAAUUAUGUGAAACGUUAAAUCCAUGCUCAAAAUUAAGUUUUUAUAGGUAAAGUAUAAAAAUUGUCACCCAAUUGUGACUUUCAUUAUAUUUUGGUGACCCAACUAUUAAUUUCGAUUUAGUCACUAAACUUUUCGAAUUAAAUAUCUUAGUCACUCUAAGCUUUUGUGAUUUUUUUUAUUGGUCUAAUAACAAAUUUAGCCCACUAAUAUUUACACAUCUAUCAUUUUGAUCCUAAAUAUAAAAUAUUCAACAAAUUUAGCCAUCAAUGUUUACAAAAUUUGUCAUUUUAGUUCUAAUUUAAAAAAAAAUCAAUGAAUUUGGCCCUCAAUAUUAUAAAAUUUGUCAAUUUAGUCCUAACUGUGAAAAUUAAUAUUUAUAAGAUGGGAAAGUCAAGAGACGAAUAUGAGGAAGCAGGCAGGGGCCUUGACCCCCUAAAAUUUUUUUUCAAUUUAGUAUUCUUAUAAAUAAAGAAACUAUAAAUUAAUAUAUAAUGAACUUACAUUUUGACCCAUUCAAAUGAAUUUUUUUAAUUCAAUUCUCUUAUAAAUAAAGAAAAUAAUAAGAUUGUACUUUAACCCCUCAAAAUAAAAAUGUUUAGUCCCUUCAAAAUGAUCAAAUUAUAAAUUAAUAUAUAAUAAAUUUAUAUUUUAAUCUAUAAAAUGUUAUGGUUCAAUUCCGACUCUGUAAAUUUGUCAUCGCUGAACCGUAAAUCAAAUUGAUUCACCAAGAUAGAGUAGGAAAAGGAAAUCAAUUUGGCUAUGUCGAUUACAUCGUAGUGACCAAUCAAUCAUCUUUCCUUAAAAGUUUAUUAAAUUGAUUUUUAUUUUAUUUUGAUGAAAUAAGCACAAUAUUCUAGGUUUGCAAAGCCUUAGACUUUUGAGAAUGAUAUUAAUAGAACAAAUGGUAAAUUCAGCAAUUGGUUAGAGCAGUAAACUAAAUAGUUAUUCACUUAGAUAUCUUAAGUUGGGAUCUUAAAUCAAAGAUAUUAUUUUUAUUUUUAUCUUUAAUUUUAUACAAAAAGUUAACCACGUUAGGGAAUGUAACGCCCCAAUUUUCGGGAAUCCUGUGAAUGUUGGCAUAGGUUUAAUUAUGUUAAUGGGCCUCUAGAAAGCCCAAGCUUAAGAUAGAACCCAGUAAUUUUAGUUAAUUUUUGUUCCAUAAGAAAAAGGGGGUGAAAUUAUGAAAUAGAACCUAUGUGAAAAUGUUUGAAAAUGCUAUAGGCUAAAUUGAAGUGGCCAAAUAAAUAGGAGUGCAAAAUAGGAGGAUUUCCAUGACAAACCUCCUAUUUUACAUGAAGUGGUCAGCCAUCAUGUUGUUGUAGACAAAAUGUGCACUUGAUAUCUAUAAUUUAUGGUACAAAUUGAUACAAAUUGAUAAUAGGUUAGGUAAAUGUUCCAUGAUAAUGGGUUAGGUAAAUGUUUCAUGAUAAGAAUUUCAUGUCUUUUGUAUUAAAGAAUUAAAUGGAUGAAAUAUGAAGUUUUAUUAAAAGAAAAAGGGGUGAAAAGAAUAAAGUUUUGUCCAUCUUUGUUCAUCAUAGCUGAAAGUUAGAGAAGAGAAAGGAGAGGAGAAAGCUCUUGAGUAUUCGGUCAUUAGGAGGAGAAAAAUUGAAGGUAAGUUCUUGGUACCUUGCUUCUAUUUUGAGGUUCAUGAGUUCUUCUUGAUUCUACCUUAACUUUUGAAGUAUAUUUUGAUUUUUAGUUGUGUUGUGAGCAUUUGGUCAUGAAUUAAAAUGAAGGAAAUGGUUGUUGUUUCAUGUUCUUUUGAUGAAAACUGGAAGAUAUGUGAAGUUGAGCCAAACAAAUGAGCAUGCAUGUGCCUUAGAUGCUAAAGGGAAAAAUCGGCUAACAUGUUGUGCUUUAAAAUGAUGAAAUGGAGAUUAUGCUUAAGUAAAAAUCAUAGAUAUGUGAUGGUUGAUUGGUGAUAUACAUGUUUAAAUAACAUGCAUGCAAGAUAGGUGUAUGAAAGAGUGAUUUGGUAAUAAAUCUGCUUGGGACAACAGCAGUAACGUGACUUUGGAAAAUCACCAUAAAUUGUGGGAGAUGAAUUAGAAGCUGAAUAAAUUAUGUAAUUAAAGCUUAUUGAGUCUAGUUUCUAAUGAAAUAAACAAGAACAUAUUUUGAAUUCUGUACAAUGAGAAAUUUGAUUCGUAAUGAAGAGUGGUCAGAUUAGUCAAACAGUGAAAUAUGGGAAACUUUGAGAAAAAUCUGGUAUUGAUUGGCUAAACCAAAAAUUCUGAAAAUUUUAUGGAUAGAAGAUAUAUGAGUCUAUUUUCAGGGAAAAUUAACGGAACUUGAUUUGGAGUUUCGUAGCUCCAGUUAUAAAUAAUUUAGUGACUGUUACUCAGGAAGACAGCUUGCAGUGAAAUUAUGAUUAUGUGGUAAACAUCGACAAAAAUUUGUUAAUGAGUUGCUUAUUGAUUUCUUAUAAGCUUACUAUGAUCUAUAGGUGUGGUUGGCCGAAUAUUGUAAGGGGUUAAUACGUAGUUUGUAUUUGAAUAGUUAGAUUAACGUGUUAGUAAUCCAAUUGUAGGCGGUUCGUGUGUGGAUUUCGUCAGCAUAUCGUCGCAAACAGGUGUGUAACUAACACCCUCUUUCUUAGUCUGGAUCGGCAAAAGUCGAAAAGCCAAAAUGCCGAAAAUCGGUAUUUUGUAGAUUUGCGAGUGUGCGAAUGCUCGUGAGGUAAAUCGAUUAAUGUUUUUGGUAAACUGCAAAAUUUGGAUUGCAAAGUGCAUGAUUUCUGUGCCCUCGAUAUUUUUGGGCUUAAUGGGCCAAAAUUGGAAUGAUGGGCCAACGGGCCCAAUUCGGUAAGAACCCUCGGUACGUGAUUCUGUAGUACGUGAAAGGUAGGAAUAUGCAUGAAAAACCCUAAAAUAGAUAAAUUACUGAAAUACCUUUAAAAGUAAAAAAUUUACAAUUUUAUCCCUAGAAGAUAAAUUAUCGAAAUACCCCUAGGGUUAAAUUGACUUAAAUGCAUGUUUGACUGUUGUUAUUUACUGCAUGCCAUGUUGUUAUUAUCUGAUGCAUGGGACCGGGAUAUUGACGGAGGAAGUACUGAAAGUGGCUUGUCCACGUACUGGAAGCUUUGCCUCAAUUUACUGUUAACUGAGCAGUAAUGCUGCAACUGUGGAGUGUUGGGCUGGGUGGGUUGAGCUAUUCCCCACAUGGAGUGUAUGGCUGGUACGGGUGGAGUGUAGUGGUUGGUGGGUUGAGUAGUCUCCCCAAAUGGGCUUGCAUAUGUUAUUGAUGUUGUAUGUAUUUUGAAAUGGGCCUAUGGGCCAUACUGUUAUCUGAAUAAGGGGCUAAGGCCCAGUUUAUUGUAAUCUGAAAAGGGCUCUGGCCCAGUACCACUGUUACCUGAAUGGGCUUAGGCCCAAUAGGCUUGAGCUGACUUGGGCUUUGAAUGGGUUUUCCUUACACACUGAGUUUCCCCAAACUCACCCCUUUUAUUUUCAUCUACGCAAGAAAUCCCCAACCAUAGUGGGCUUGGAGCUGUGAGGGAAUUCGGAGUGGCCACCCGUUCUGAAAGUUUGAUUUUCUUCUGGUGAACUGGACAUCUUUUUAUUUACGUUUGAAGUUUUGGGUUUUUAAAUGUAAUAAGGCCGCUUAAUUAUUUUUAAUGGUUUUAAUAUGUAUUACUAAGAUAGGUAUUACUUAUUUUAACUGUUGAAAUUGGAUAGCUUUAGGGCGCGUUUUCAAAAACAACAGUUGAUUUCAAAAUAACACAACAACAAGUAAAGCUUCCGCAACGAAAGUAUUUUCCAAAAUUAAUCACUUUUCCUAAAAAUGACUUAAUCAAAUCGGUUUCCUAGAAAUAUCCAUGACGUUAAGGUGUGGUAAUGGCAGUAUGCAUGUCUAGGAUUGGAUCCGAAGGGAGCUUGGUACUUAAGCAGUCCGAUGGACUCACCACCUCUUUUUCGGUUUCCUACCUGGUGCACAACUUCCAUUCACUUUAACCUAUAAUGAAAUUAUCUUUUAAAACACUGAGUAGGUUUUUCUGGAUCAACAAUAUAAAAUAUUUUUAACGCUUCGAUGUGGCAUGUCGGAUCCAGCCAUAACGUCUGGGCCGGAUUUGGGGUGUUACAGGGAAAGUAUCAUAACACAAGAAAUGUGUUUUCAUUUAAAAAAAUAUUUUAGUUUAAAAAUUUACCAUAUAUUCGUGUUAAUUUGUUUUAUUAUUUGUAUUUCCUAUUAUUGAUUUAAUUUAAUUAUAAAUAUAAUUUUAAUUAAUUAUAGUUUUAUAAUUUUAGUAUAUAUCUACGCAUAUUCCAAUAUAUGUACAUUUAGAGAGUAUAUUAUUUAAGUUAAAUAUCACACAAAAAUAUUGAUGUAAAAAUAGAGUACACUUAUAUAUGCAUAAUCUUGUAAUCAUAUAAAAAAAUUUGAUGGUUUGGAUGAAAUUACCUGGAUUGCCGGAAGGCAUGUAUGCAAAAAACUUGCUCAAGGUCAUUGGAAAUGUGAUUGGUCCCAUUGCAAUAAUUGACCAGAAUAGCAAUAACAAUUCCAGGGGGCAGUUCGCAAGCCUCGCAGUUUUUAUAGAUUUGGGAAAACCUUUGGUCUCACGAAUUGAUGCGAAAAUACAGAGGGUGGUGUAUGAAUCAUUACCUGAAGUUUACUUCGAUUGUGGGAGAUUUGGACACAACGGUGAUAUGUGCCCUUUCAGACCUGGGAAAGGGGAUAAUACUGAAGGGAAAGUGAAGGGUUCUACUGGUAAGGAAACGUCAACUCAGGAACAGUUGGAGGAAGAGAGAUUUGACCCGUGGAUGUUAGUUGAACAGCGGCAACGACGAAGCUCUAGACCGACGGCAAACUCAAAGGAUGGCAGUGUCAAACCGACGACUGGAGGGUCCCGAUUUGGUGUUCUUAGCGAUAAUUACAGAAGUAUAGAUGGUAGUGAAUCGAUGAGAUUCAAUGAAUUUGAGGAAAUUAGGAUUUUGAGAUAAAAAUAUGAAAAAAAAAAAUCUGUAACACCCAUAACCUAUGUUCAUCGUUAGAAUAGAGUUUCAAAAUAUCAGCGAUCAAACAGACAUAAUUUUCAAACAUUUGUAUCAUAUAAUAUUCAAGUUAGAAACUAAUCAAAUUCAUACCUAAUUUAAUCCAUUUUAGCUAGUUUUUAAACACUUAAACAUCAAUUGAACAUGCCAUAAUAAAACUUCAAACAUAAACACAUAUUCACAUGUAUAUAUCAAACCAUUAUUAAAUUUAUAACCUCAUUUACAAUCAAACCACAAAAUAACUAUUAUUUAGACACCAUUUUUGGAUUUAAAAAUGGAAAUCGACUUUGAUUUUGAAAAUGAAAACGAACAUAGAAGUCAUCACCAAUAUUUUUGUUUAGGUGUGAUCAGAUCACCAAGAAUUUUGGUCAUUUUAAUAAAACAUUUCGAUUUACUAAAAUAACGAUUUUGGUCUACAAAAUUUGAGAAAACGAGUUCGAAAGUCGAUUACGUACGAGAAUAAAUUAACACCCUUGUAACGCUCAAAAUUAGUACCUAAUUAAUUAAGUGUUAUCCUUAUGUCAAGAUUUUAGAAAAAAAUUUGAAAUACGAUUCCCUUUUAAAACAUUUGUAUGAUUCAAGUUGAUCGUCAAAAUUCUCUCGUUUUAAAGGUAUACAACAUCAUAUCAAGCACGAUUGGACACAAUCCUUUAUACCUUCAAAAAUACGAUUGAUUUUUAACUUUCAAAAGCUCGUACGUCAAAAAUUAUAAAAGAAUAUUCAAAUAUUUAGUCUGACGAAAAAUCAUACCCAACACGAUAGGACAUGAUUCCCUAAAUUUCCAAACAUUGAAUACUGCCUUAUUUUAAAAUCUUUGGGUAAAGAAAAUCAAAAAUUAACUCAAAAUCCAUUUAUUUGUUUUAAAAUAAGAUGGUAUAAUUAAAGGGUUACAAAGGAACAUUUGUAUGAAGAAGGAUUAAUAAACACGAGAUAAUACACACACAUAAAGUGCAAUAAACCACAAUCAAUAAAUCCAACAAUUAAAUACAACUAUUCUAAUAAAAAUGUGACCAAAUUUUUAAGCAUGGAUGGAAAACAAUAAAUAAAACAAUGAAUAAAUAAUAUACAACAACAAUAAAUAUGAAACAAUAUAAAACAAACAACAAAGCAUGUACAAAACAAAAUGAAAAUUAAAAGUCAAUGUGGGGUGAGACAAUUUAAAAUAGUGAUGAACGAAUGACCACAUAAUAUACAUGAUAUAUUAAUGGAUGAUUUGAUGAAUUUGAAAUAAUUUGGGUAAAAAAAAAAACUAGGGAUAUAUAUAAUCAUUGAAAUACAUAUUAUAUAAUAAAGAUUUUUAAAUCGAAUAGUAUACGAAGUGUUAAAAAACAUUUGUUAAAAUACAUACAACAAAGGAAAAUUCAAAUAAUAUAUAAAAUAUGAAAGGAUAGCAAAAAUGCAUAAUAAAAUAUAUUAGGAAAUACACAUAAUAAGUUUACAAAACAUAUAUCUACAUAAGUAAAUUUAGAAGUAAUUAUUUGUAAAAACAAUAUGGAAUUAAUAAUGCAUAUAAAAUUAACUUUUCCAUAAAUUAUAUAUAUAAGAAAUUUUAAAAAAUAUAAUCAUAUAUACAAAAGAAAAAAAAACUAUAUUUACAAAAUACAUAAAUUUAGUGAUGUAUAUGGAUCAAACAUAUAUUCCAAUAAUAUAUAUAUAUAUACACAGAGAAUUUUGAAACAAAUUUUAUAUGACAUAAUUUUACAUAUAACCAAUUAAUUUAGAUUAAUGAUACAUAUAAAUAAUACAAACAUAAAUAUAAUAAUAUGUGGAGGUAUAUGAUAUAAUUUUAAAUAUGGUUAAAAAAAAUUAUACACGUAAAUAAACUUAAAGGACAGUAUACAUACAUCGAAAAUUUUUACAUAUAAUGACGUGAAAUAAAUAACACGGGAGUAAAAAAUAAUUUAAUAUGAAUUAUAUAUCAUAAUAUGAAGUUUAAUACCAUGUAAACCUUCAAACAUAAAAAUGUACAUAUAAAAGAUUUUUACAUUCAUGAAUCGUAAAGUUAAACAAAUUAAAACAUACAUACAUAUAUAUAUACACUAAUGAAAGUGCUUAAACAAUGCAAGGUUAAUGAAAUAAUCCAUGAUAAUAUGUCCAAAGAUAUAUAGCAAAUGAGUUUCUUUGAAAAAAAAAUAAAAAAUAAUAUAAAGAAUAAAAACUUGAGCUAAAAAACUCAAUUGAAGCAAAAAUAAAAUUAAACGGAUAAUUUGCAAAUAAAUAACAACUGUUAAACAACCUGAAGGACUAAAUAGGGAUUAAAAAAAAAUAAACCAUCUAAUGUGGACUAAAUUGAGUAUACGCGCAAAUUCUAGAAAUAAUUUAAAAGAAUCAAAGAAAAUAUAAAUAGGGCCUAAAUAGAUGGCGGCACAAAUGGGGAGGACUAAACGCAAAAAUUCCCCUUUUAAAGUGAGAAUGCGUGGAUCAAGCCAACGCAUUGACUUCCCUCCCCCCUCUUUUAAUGGUGCCUUCUGAAUUUUCAUUAAAACCUUUAUCAUUAUUAUUAUUUUUUAUUAUUAUUUUUUUUUACCUUGCAAACCCCAAAAGUCUCAACCCCCUCUGUUACGGUUUCACCCAAACAUGACGCCGGACCACCACCAUAUCUGGUUGCCGACGGUGCGAAAAAAUGGCCUAAGACCAUGACCACGAAGCCCUGGUAAGUGAGCUCCCUUUCUUUGUUCUCAUACAUCAAUAAAAAAGAUAAAAAAAGAAGAUGAAAACAACUUGAAAUCCUGUUUUGCUUUAGAAAAUAAAAGGGAGAGUUUUAUCACACAAGAAAGCAAAGGGCCUCAACCCCAUUUCGGGUCCGAAUCCAAAGACGGGGGAAAUCUCCGAUGACACGGCCACGAGGUAAGUCCCUCUCCUCUCUUAGUUGCGUGUAAAAAAAGAAAAUGUCACAAGAAAAUCAAAAUAGACUAAAAAUAAAGAAAAUCCAGAAAUCAAAUCACCUUUUUGAAAUAGUCUUCUUUUUGGAUUAAUACUCUCUGCUUCUUUUAUUUCCAAAAAAUCCCCCCUUUUUUGCAUUCGCUUUUUUCUUUGGCUUUAUAGCCAAGAAUAUUACAAAUACAUUAUCUAUGUUCUACUGCUUCUGCUUUGCGUGUUUCUCUUUCGUUUUGUAGGGCUAAGCGGGAUCAACGGAAAGGGCGCAGGUAGUGGUACAGGCGAUGGGACGGGGCACCUAUCUCGGGCGUUGAACGCGCUGACAGCACGUGAGGAGCAGUGCCUAAUGUGCUGGUAUGAAACCCUAGGGUUUCCUGGUUUAGUAUUUUGGGCCUAUUGGGGCCAAUAGGAAUUGGGUCAGAUUUUUUUAAAAUGGGUUUGGGUUUAUUGGGCUUGAAUUUGUAAAAUAGACUGUUAACAAUUAUUUUUUGAGUUGUUGAGCCUCGGACAAAUUUGGGCCUCUACAAAUAUAAUAGACACAAUUGAAUAUUUAAAAUCACAUUUAUUCAUACUAUGACAUUAGCCAUACAAUACUCAAUUCAUGAAUACAUCAUUAUAUACCAUAAUCAAUUUUCAUUACUUACUAUAUAAUAGUUUUCCAUUCCACAUAUUAUUUAAAUAAUGACACUAUCCAUUCUACAUUCAAUUCAUGAGUUCCAUGUAUUUACAAUAUAUUUCACACUAUUUCAGUUCAUUAUUUUAAUUCCAUUGUGAGAUGUUGGCUUGAAGAAGACAUUAAACAGUCAUUGCUAACUGAUGAUAAUUUUCAUUAGGAUGAUGCUCGUUUUAUUUUUUAAACUUAUGUUCAACAAAAAAAAAGAAAAAAAAAAGAUGAGAUUUAAUUCAUUGAUAUUGUGAAAAAAUAAAUAUAAUUUUUUUUAAAAUUAAUUAAUAAAUUAAAUAUAACAUGAAUUUUUGUAAGAAAACAAUAUGAAUUGAAUUAAUGAAAAUAUAUUUUUAUAAAGAAUUUGUCAUAAAUUAAUUUUUUUCCAUAUAUAAACAAAACAUAAUAAAAUUUUUGUCCAAAAUUGUUUCUAUAUUUUUAUGAGGAAUUUGUUUUGAAUUAAAUUUUUUAAAUGAGUUAUACACGGUAGAUUAUUAUGGUAACAAAUGACAAUUUAUAAAUUGUGCCAUAUAAGAAUUGUUUCCUUUUGUGUAAUCUCAUAUUAUUAUAAUAUAUAUAAAAAAUAUUUGUUAUUAUGUCAGUGGAGUUUUUAGACUUCAAAUGCAAUGUUAGGGAGUUGAUAAGUGUUUUAUAUAGGGUAUAUUAGAUAUAUUAAAUAUGCUCUAAGAUUUUGUACUCCUCAAAUAUUUAGAAUUUAGUCCUUUUACUUUUAUUAUAAGACAUUUACUCUCUCUACUUUUUAGAUUUAAAAAAGCAAGUUGAAUUGUUAACACCUUUAAAUUUUUUUUUGUUAAAUUUAAGAUCAUUAUAUUGUCAUUUUUUUUUAGUUACAUGGUUAUCAAAUGAAUUUUUUUUUUAAUUUCAAAAUAUCAUACUAAUAAAAUUAACCAAAAAAAUAAGAUGUUAACUAUUGGAUUUAAAUUUGAAAUAUAAAAAAUAGAAUAAUUAAAUUUCAGAAAAUAAAAAUAUAAAAAUUAAAAUUAAAAUUUAUUAGACUUAUAUAGUAUAUUUGAACAAAUUUUAAACCAAGAAAUGCAACAGUUUGAACCAAUUGAGAAAUGGGCAAAGCGCAAAAUGUUCCGUUCACACGCCGAAAAGUACAAAACUAGGGGACGUAGCCCUGAUGCGAAUACGGCCCCACUUUAUCCGAUGUGCGAGCAUAUGAAAAUUCCACGUUGUAAAAUUUGCCUUCACGGUCCCCAGACGACGUUUUGACCGUCUUCUCAAAAUCCUAUAAAUUACGCUGCAUGGUACCCUUUUCAACUUGUAUUAGCCUUGUUUGAAAAAUAAAUAAAUUAAAUCUUGAUAUAGUUGCUUUGCUUUUGCUUCUCUUAAACUGAGUUCCAAGCAAAACCCUUUUCUGUUUUUCGUCUGAUUUCGCUAAGGUCUUCUUUGGGUAGUUUGAGAUUUGAGUUUUUCAUCAUACUAUGUCUUCUCAAUCUUCUAAGGAAUCAGUUCAUGAUUUCACUGUUAAGGUUCAUUUUGGGUUUAAUUCAAAUUUAUACCCCCAUAGAUUAAAUUUAAAUUGUCUUUCAUUUAUCUCACUGGGUUUUGUUUUUUUUUUUUGGCUGUUCAGGAUGCAAGAGGGAAUGAUGUUGAUGUGGCAAGAAGUUUGACGAUGGCGACAAAGUUGUUAGCUUCGUCAUGCGUAAGGAAGGAGAGUUCUGGGGAUUUGUCACCAAGGCCUCAUUAUCCAUCGAUUCCCAAAUACCCAAAAGGGGUUACGGCACAAGAAACGAGCUUGCAGGGAUCAGAGGCGAAAGCUAUGCUUUCAGUGAUGGGGAUGACAUGUUCGGCCUGCGCUGGCUCCGUCGAGAAGGCUAUUAAGAGGCCUCCGGGAAUUAAGGAAGCUGUUGUUUGAACAACAAGGCGCAAGUUAUGUUCUACCCAAGUUUUGUUAACGUAAGUUUUUCUUAAUUUAUGUUUAGAUAAUUGAAUUUCAGAACAACUAGCUUUUAAUUCAUCAAGUCGGAUAUUCAAAUUAAUUGCAGCCUUCUAAAGAUAUGCAUGAAUAGGACAAGAAAAAUGUAAACCUUUUUUUUGUUUGUUUGUGCAGUGAAACAAUUGUUUUCACUAAGCAACAAAAACAAGAUUUGGUUCUCUGCUUUGACAAGUUUGACUUUAUUGACUUUAUUUCCACUUACCUUUGCUUGGGGAGGAUAAGGAAGAAACAACUUAAAGUAGGCAUGAUUAUGAACCCUUUGAUUUUGACUUCUAUUGAUGCUUUACCGACAAAUCUACAGGUUGCUGCAAUUUGUUUUUGUGAAUGGGGCCAGCUUGGUAGUGAGCCAUGAAACCCCACCUUACGUGUUAUAUACUUAAAUCCCAAGUACCACCCUUCAAAUUUUAAGUCUAUUCAAAUUUGGCUUCUCAUAUUGUCAAUCCAAUGAUUAGGAUAUUUAUAUAUUUCAUCAAUUUAACUUCUAUAUUUUUUAAAUUGUUUCAUUGUCUCACGUUUCGUCUAGGUUAAAUUGUUUUUUAUAUUAGAUUUUUAUAUAAAAAUAUAAAAAGACAGUAGCGUCUAAUAUUUUUUAUUUUUUAAAUGAAUUUUUUUAAAUAAAUUUUCAAUUGAGUUUAUGUUUAGUCUAUUGUAUUACUAACUCUAUCAAUAACUUAAAUAUAAUAACUAUAGAUAUAAUAUUUUAAAUUAUUUUUAUAUAAAAAUAUAAAAUAUAAAAAAUAAAAAUAAAAACAUUAUUAUAAUAAUAUUUGGUAAAUUUUUUAUUUUUAAUAAAUUUUAAUUGAAUUGAUGUUGGAUUAAUUUGUGUUAUUAAUUCUGUCAGAAGUUUAAAUAUAUUACGCAUAGAUAUAAUAUUUAACUUUUUAAGUGAGCUGAGGGAAAACUAAGGGGAAAAAAUAUACUUCUACAUCAAGAGCUAUGCUUCAUGUUGUUUACUGUUGGAUGCUAAUUUCCAAAUGACAAAAAGGGUUGGACUGAAAGUUUUACUACAGCUUUGCUCAUUGUUACAGAUGCAAAAAGAUAUUACUUGAUGACGUUAAGUGAAUGAAGUAAAGCUUAAAAAUGUAUCCCACUAAUUGUUCUUGCAGUUUCAUUAGAAGGUGCAGGAUUUAGCUCCUAACUUAUUAGAUGCAUGUUGGACUUGAAUCUGUCUUGUUCUUUUGUUUUUUUUUAUCUUGAACAAGGUUUUGAAAUAUUAAACAUUUAUAGGAAGAGAGCAUUCGUGAGGCCAUUGAAGAUGCUGGAUUUCAAGCUGCAUUGAUCCAAGACGAGACCGACUAUAAAUCCGUUCAAGUCUGCCGUAUUCGGAUCAACGGAAUGACAUGCACUUCUUAUCGACGGAAUGACAGGCAGCUCCCGGUGUGCAAAAGGUCCAAGUGGCUUUAGCAACCGAAGAAGCACAGAUUCAUCAUGAUCCCAAAAUCAUAACCUGCAAUCAACUCAUGGAGAAAAUAGAAGAGACCGGAUUCGGAGCCGUACUUGUUAGUACUGGAGAAGACAUGAGCAAGAUCAAUCUCCGUAUCGACGGUGUAAGGACGGUUAACUCGAUGAGAGUGCUUGAAAAUUCCCUUCAAGCACUCCCUGGUGUUCAAGCUGUACAAAUAUCCCCUGAACUCAAAAAAAUUGCAGUCUCAUAUAAACCAGAUAUGACAGGACCAAGAAACUUCAUCAAAGUAAUAGAUUCAACAGGUAGUAGCAGGCGUUUUAAGGCAACGAUAUAUUCCGAAGGUGAAGGUGGUGGAAGGGAAUCUCAUAGAAAAGAAGAAAUUAAGCAGUACUUCAGAUCCUUCCUAUGGAGCUUGAUUUUCACUACUCCUGUAUUUUUAACCUCCAUGGUUUUCAUGUAUAUCCCUGGAAUUAAACAUGGAUUGGACACCAAAGUAGUGAAUAUGUUAACUAUAGGUGAAGUCAUAAGAUGGGUGCUAUCAACUCCGGUUCAGUUCAUAAUAGGGAGACGGUUUUACACCGGUUCUUAUAAAGCAUUACGCCAUGGGUCCGCAAAUAUGGAUGUUUCAAUCGCAUUGGGGACUAAUACAACUUACUUUUAUUCUGUAUACACUGUGAUAAGAGCUGCUUCUUCUCCAGAUUUUGAAGGUACUGAUUUUUUUGAAACAAGUGCAAUGCUUAUCUCAUUCAUUUUACUUGGUAAGUAUCUUGAGGUUUUAGCUAAAGGAAAAACAUUAGAAGCCAUUGCUAAGCUUAUGAACCUUGCACCUGAGACAGCAAUGUUGUUGAGUUUAGAUGAAGAAGGAAAUAUGAUAGGUGAAGAAGAAAUCGAUAGUCGAAUGAUACAAAAGAAUGAUAUUAUCAAAAUCCUACCUGGUGCAAAAGUAGCUUCAGAUGGUUUUGUUUUGUGGGGGCAAAGUCAUAUAAAUGAAAGCUUGAUAACCGGAGAAGCACGACCGGUGGCAAAAAGGAAAGGCAAUACGGUUAUCGGAGGUACGGUUAAUGAGAAUGGAGUAUUGCAUAUUAAAGCAACAAAGGUUGGUUCAGAAAGUGCACUUGCACAGAUUGUUCAUCUUGUUGAAUCUGCUUAAAUGGACAAAGCUCCUGUACAGAAGUUUGCUGAUCGAAUUUCCAAAUAUUUCGUGCCUCUGGUGAGUCAAGUCAAGAGAGUCCUUUUAGGAUUGUUUCCAUAAAGUUGGUUUUAAGCUACUUGUUCUUGUUGUUGUCUUCAACAGGCGAUCAUGCUUUCGUUUUCAACGUGGCUUGCAUGGUUUUUAGCUGGAAAGUUCCAUGGUACCCUGAAUCAUGGAUACCAUCUUCGAUGGAUAGUUUUGAGCUGGCACUUCAGUUUGGAAUUUCAGUGAUGGUCAUAGCUUGUCCAUGUGCCUUGGGGCUUGUAACCCCUACUGCUGUUAUGGUCGGUACUGGUGUCAGUGCAUCUCUAGGUGUAUUAAUCGAAGGUGGUCAAGCAUUGGAAGGUGCACAUAAGGUAAAUUGCAUUGUAUUCGACAAGAGAGGAACUCUCACGGUCGAAAAGCCGGUCGUUGUUAACACAAGACUGUUGAAAAACGUGGUGUUACAUGAAUUCUACGAGCUUGAUGCUACAACUGAGGCAAAUAGUGAGCAUCCUUUAGCCAAAGCCAUUAUCGAGUAUGCCAAGAAGUUCAGAGAAGAUGAAGAGAACCCUGCAUGGCUAGAAGCACGUGACUUCGUCUCUAUAACAGGACAUGGAGUGAAAGCCAUUGUUAGGGACAAGGAAAUAAUUGUGGGAAACAAGAGCUUAAUGUUGGAAAACAACAUUGUUAUUCCAGUUGAUGCUCAAGACAUGUUAACCGAAACGGAAUCGAUGGCUCAAACCGGUAUUUUAGUAUCAAUAGAUGGUGAAGUAACGGGAGUUCUCGCCAUAUCCGAUCCAGUGAAACCAGGUGGACAAAAAGUUAUUUCCAUUCUCAAGUCAAUGAAUGUAAGAAGCAUCAUGGUGACUGGUGAUAAUUGGGGAACUGCAAGUUCCAUUGCUAGUCAAAUUGGCAUUGAAACUGUUGUUGCAGAAACUAAACCUGAACAAAAAGCAGAGAAAGUAAAAGAGUUACAAGCGGAAGGUUAUGCUGUGGCAAAGGUAGGGGAUGGCAUCAAUGAUUUGCCGGCACUUGAAGCCGCCGAUGUCGGUAUGGCAAUCGGUGCAGGAACAGAUAUUGCAAUAGAGGCAGCUGAUAUAGUUCUGAUGAAGAGUAACUUAGAGGAUGUGAUCACAGCCAUACACCUUUCUAAGAAAACAUUUUCUCAUAUUUGCCUUAACUAUAUUUGGGCAUUUGGGUAUAAUAUGCUUGGGACCCCAAUAGCUGCAGAGUCUCUAUUUCCACCAACUAGAUUUCGUUUACCUCUAUGGAUUGCUGGAGCUGCCAUGGUUGCUUCCUCUGUCAGUGUUGUUUGCUGCUAACUCUUGUUAAUGUUAGAGUUAGUUAUGAAUUGUUAUUCUGGUGCAAUAGUUGUUAAGCCGUUAAGGGAAAGUUAGUCAGUAGCAGUUCUCUAUAAAUAACAGUUGUAAAGUUCAAAGAAAAGCUGGAUAUGAAAUACACAGUAUACUAUCUCUUUCAUUCGUUUCUUCUUUAGUUAAGAUAGUUCUUAUCUUAGGUUUUAUCAUGGUAUCAGUCGCCUAGUUCCUGGUGCUUGUGCUUCUUUUCGUCUUACGCUCAUGGAUCCAUUUAUUGCAUCUCCGACUGGUGGUGCUACUGCUCCUUUCUCCAUUUCGCGUUUAGUGCAUAGUUUUCCUCGUCAUGAAACAAUUAAUUUGGAUAAGACGAACUGUGUUCAAUGGCAACUUCAAGUUCGUUUGAUUGUUGAAGCUAUGAUCUUCAAGGUUUCUUGGACGGUUCUGUUCCUGCUCCGCCGAAGGUGGUGGCUACACCGGAUGGUACUCUCGCUCCGAAUCCGGAAGCGAUUCUGUUCCAACAACAGGGAUAAGUUGCUGGCAUCGUGGCUUCUCUCUACGGUUAAUUCUUCUCUGCUCUCUUAUUUCAUUUCUACUAAAACUGCGAGUGAUAUUUAGAGUGCUGCGAGUCAUUUGUUUGCAGCUUCAUCCAUCGAGAAGGUGUCUCAGAUCCGGCAUGAUCUCCAUGCGGUCCAGAAAGGUGGAUUCGCUGUCAAAGAGUAUGUAUCACGCAUCAAGACUCUGUGUGCUCUUCUAGAGGUGUCGGGUUCGGCUGUUUUUGAGGCAGAGAAAGUGGAGGUACUCCUUGAUUGUAUUUCUUCUGAUUUCGAUUCUGUGUUUAUGUUAGUUUCAGUCUCGUCGGAGCCGUUAUCGUUUCAAAAACUUGUUGAUAUAUUGAUGGCCAUUGAGAAUCGCCAAACACAGGUUGCAAGGGAUGUCCCAAUGGUUACGCAUGUUGUUGAAACUCCUGUUGCGGUUGCUGAGUAUGAUUCUCGUGUUGUGCGUGGUGAGAGGUCAUCGACUGGAUCUCGCGGUGGUCGUGGUUUCCAUCCUAGAGUGCAGUGUCAGAUAUGUAAUCUGCUCGGCCAUGUUGCGCAGUGCUGCUACUAUCAGUUUGACAGAGAGUUUGAUACUUCCUCUUUUAGUCAUGAUGCUCUGGCCGUUGGUGGUGAGUAUCGUUCUCGGGCGUUCCCUCCGGUGCAACGUGUUGAAGGAAGGCAGUGGAUAUGGCAGAAUCAUUCUGCUACGCCUGCGUUUGGAUCUGCAUAGCAUGGUAGGCAGUAUGUGUCGACUGGGCAGCAUGGUGGGCCAUAUGCGCCCCGUGUGUAUGCACCUGGGCCUUAUGCCCGUCCUAGUAGGCAAUUUGUAGAUCGUGGGGCCCAGUAUGAUCUGGGUCAGAUGCAGUAUGCUCCUACGCCAAAUGUUAUUGGCCGAAUGCCUGGGCCACAUGGCCCUCCCGAUUAGCGUCAUGGGCCGGUUCCUGGUGCUCAAACCGUGCCUCAAGAUUCUCUUGGUUCUCUUGUUGCGAAUUUUGUGGGCGUCCCGACUGUUCCGCUUGAGGUCCCGUGGCGUACAAAACAUCAUGCUCGAUUUUUUGAUAUUGAUAAUUCUCAGGAUAUUGGAUUGCCUCGUAUUCUCGAUUUUCGUGCUUCUAAUUUUUCGGACACAUCCCGGUAUGACUCGAGUUUUGGCAGUGUGGAUCCUUAUGUUCCCACACCAGUCGGGACUACAUCGUGGUGCCCGGACUCUGGUGCUUCUCAUCAUAUUUGCCAGAAUGCAGCAGAUUUAAAUGCUCCUACUCUUUAUUCAGGUACAUCUGAAUUUUUAAUGGGCAAUGGGGUUAUUUCUAAAAUGUUGUUUGUAGGAGAUACGAUUCUUUCUUCAAAUUCAAAGCUCUUGCGGUUGACUAAUGUGUUGUGUGUUCCAAGUAUUCGCAAGAAUCUCUUAUCUAUGUCGUAGUUUGCUCAGGAUAACAAUGUGUUUUUGGAAUUUCACCCCUCUUAUUGUGUCAUUAAGGACAUUAAGACGCAUGAAAUCUUGUUGCGGGGCCAAGUUCGUGAUGGGCUCUAUCAUUUCUCAGUUGCUUCCCUUGUCUCAUCUGCUCAAGUGGCUGAGGUUCAUAAUGUUGAUGUUCAAGAUUCCUCAUUGAUCCUUGAUGAUUUCACGCUAUGGCAUAAUCGACUUGGUCAUCCGUCGGCUAGGAUUUUUAAUGAUGUUUUAAAUAAAUAUGGAAUUGUUUCUAAUAAAAAGACUCUCACUAAUGUUUGUAUUGCAUGUCAGAAGGGCAAGUCUCAUAAACUGCCGUUUUCUAAGUCCAAUACUGAGUAUGUGGAGUUGUUUGAAUUAGUUGUAUCUGAUUUGUGGGGUCCGGCAUCUGUUGCCUGUGAAAGAAAUUUGUACUAUGUUUCCUUUGUAGACAUGUACAGUCGGUUUACGUGGGUUUACUUGAUUAAACGUAAGUCUCAAGCAUUAGACUGUUUUCUUCAAUUUCAGAAAUUGGUAGCUACUCAGUUUGGCAAGCAAAUUAAGAAGUUUCAAAGCGAUUGGGGUGGGGAGUUUCAUGUUUUUGCGUCAGUCCUUGCUGAUCAAGGGAUUUUACAUCGUUUAUCUUGCCCGCACACUUUUGAACAAAAUGGAGUGGCUGAGCGUAAGUAUCGACAUAUCGUGGAAAUUGGUCUAACCUUACUUGCUCAAGCUAAUCUUCCUAUGAAACAUUGGGGUUAUGCGUUCAGCAGUGCUGUUCAUCUUAUUAAUAGACUGCCUACUUCUGUUUUACAAGGUCAUACAUAGUAUCAAAGACUGUAUGGGUGUGUUCCCCAAUAUGCUUAUCUCCAGAUUUUUGGAUGUUGUUAUUUUCCGUACCUAUGCCCAUUCUUACGUCAUAAGCUAGAUUUUCAUUCUCAGCCCUGUACAUUUUUAGGUUAUAGCUCUCAACAUAAGGGUUAUUUUUGUCUUACUCCAGAAGAGAAAAUGAUUGUUUCUCGUCAUGUUGUGUUUGAUGAGCAUCGGUUCUUGUUUUUGCCUCCGGUGUCGACUAAUGCUGGUCAUUCUAUGCAAACUGUUACGUAUGUUCCUCUUGUUCAUACGUCCCCUUCCACACAUUCGAAACCUCCUGUCAGUUCUUCACAACUUCCUGUUGUUUCUUCACCGUCUCCUGUGCUUGAAUCUGCUUGUGAGGCUAUUCGCUCUGCUUUUGAUUCUCAAUCUGCAACGUGUUCAUUACCAGCAGCUGUGACUAUUCAGUCUGGUGCUGCUAGUACGGGGAAUGUAAGGGGUAGUUACUCUUCCACUUCGGUGUCUUCUGAGCAGUCAAUCCCGUUAAAUGUGCCUUGUGUUUCUUCAGGAAAUACUCAUGCUAUGGUCACACGAUCGAAGGUAGGAAUUUUCAAGCCCAAGGUUUUAACUGCUAUAGCUGUUGAUUUUGAGCCAUGUUUUAUUGAAGAGGCCCUUGCUCAUCCGAACUGGAAGGUUGCUGUUCAAGCUGAAUUUGAUGCACUCAUGGCUAAUUCGACUUGGGACCUUGUACCUUCUCUUCCUGGACGGCGAGCGAUCGAGUGCAAAUGGUUAUUCAAAAUUAAGAGAAAUCCUGACGGUUCUGUUAAUCGACGAAAGGCUCGCUUAGUUGCUAAAGGGUGUUCUCAAAUACCAGGUUGUGAUUUUACAGAAACCUUUAGUCUUGUAGUUAAACAGGCUACUAUUCGUAUUAUCUUGUCUAUUGUUGUUUCAAGACGAUGGCCCCUUCGUCAGGUCGAUGUGAAUAAUGCAUUCUUGAACGGGGAUUUGGAUAAUGAAGUGUUCAUGCAACGACCUCCGGGGUUUGUUCAGUAUGAUUCUGCUGGGCAGCCUUUUGUCUGUCGAUUGAAGAAGGCCUUGUAUAGGCUUCGAAAAGCCCCACGAACAUGGUUUGAUAAACUCAAGCGGUUUCUUGUGUCUAUUGGGUUUGUCGUAUCGAAGUCUGAUACAUCUCUCUUUAUUCGUAUUACGUCUGAUUCCGUCUUAUAUGUCCUUGUGUAUGUCGAUGAUAUAAUUAUCACUGGUAAUGUCUCAACUGUUAUUGCUAAAUUUGUUGAUUAGUUAAAUGCUGAGUUUGCUCUCAAAGAUAUGGGUGAUUUGCAUUAUUUUAUUGGAAUUGAGGUUACCCGCUCGUCUACUGGGUGCCUUCACUUAUGUCAGAAAAAAUAUAUUCGGGAUCUUCUUGCUCGAAGUUCACUCUCCAAUGCCAAACCGGUUCAUACACCUAUGAUUUUCUCCUCUCGAUUGUCCAAAAGUUAUGGUGAUCCGUUAAGUGAUCCUACAAAUACCGGAGUCUUGUCGGAGCCCUGCAGUUCGUUGUCCUUACUCGUCCUGACAUUGCUUAUGUUGUUAAUCAUAUUUGUCAAUUCAUGCACAACUCUUCUACAGUUCAUAUGGUUGCUUUGAAGCGAAUAUUGCGAUAUUUAUAUGGUACGCUUGAUUAUGGUGUUGUCUUUCGCCCUUCUACCCGUUUGUCUCUUGUGGGAUAUGCUGAUGCUAACUGGGGGUUGGAUUUUGAUGACCGCCGUUCUACGUCUGGCUACUGUAUGUAUUUUGGAUACUCGCCAGUUUUGUGGUGCUCCAAAAAGCAGCAAGUCGUCUCUCGCUCUACGGCUGAAGCAGAAUACCAGAGUCUUGCUGCAGCUACUAGUGAUGUCACUUGGUUGCUCUCUCUGCUUCAGGAGUUACAAGUUUCGUCUGCCGAUACUCCUACUAUCUAGUGUGAUAAUUCUAGUUCCGUUGCCGUUGCUGCUAAUCCUGUUCUUCAUUCUAAGUUUAAGCAUGUGGACCUUGACUUGUUCUUUGUUCGGGAGAAGGUUGCCGCUGGUACCAUUGUUGUUGGUAAGGUACCUGCCUGUGAUGAAGUUGCUGACAUUCUUACUAAGCCACUUUCCUUGGCGUGUUUUACUCGGUUUAGACAAUUUCUUAGGGUUUUUCCUGUCGAGCAGCUGGAUGCAUGUUAGAGUUAGUUAUGAAUUGUUAUUCUGGUGCUAUAGUCGUUAAGUCGUUGAGGGAAAGCUAGUCAGUAGCAAUUCUCUAUAAAUAACAGUUGUAAAGUUCAAAGAAAGGCUGGAUAUAAAAUACACAGUAUACUAUCUUUUUCAUUCGUUUCUUCUUUAGUUUCUAUUCAAGAUAGUUCUUAUUUUAGGUUUUAUCAGUUAAAGAAUUACAAGAGACCCAAGAAGCUGGAAAACCUUGAAAUUGGUGGAAUACAGAUUGAAUAAUAGAUGAUGAGAGUUCUAUAUAUCCACAUAUAUAUAUAUAUAUAUAUAUAUAUGUAUGCAGGUUUGUUAUUUAAGUUAAUUUUAACAGGCUUGUUAGUGGGUUAAGCCUUGCCUAAGUUAUAUUUUAAUUAUUUGCUAUUUUCAUGUUAUGUUUUCCUAAACAAAGAUAUAGAAAGGAAUAUGUAAUGAAAUGCCUGGGAUAUUGUAUUUGUCUAAAACUUUGGAUUCUCUUUUCUCUCUUUUCUGUUAGCCUUCUUCUUUUCUUUAUGGGAUUUCAUUAAUUAUCCUACAUCAAAUUGUAUUCAGAGCACUCAAACUUUAAUACACUUACAUAUGCAUAAUCUUGUAAUCAUAUAAAAAAAUAUAAAUUUUAUUCAACAAAAAUAUAACAUAUUGACAAUAAAAUAAGUUUAAACUAGUUGAUAUUGUGAAAAAUAAAUAUAAAUAUUUUUAAAAUUAAUUAAUGCAUUAAAUAUAAGUAAACAAUAUGUAUUGAAUUAAUGGAAAUAUAUUCUUAUAAGGAAAUUAUCUUAAAUUAAUUUUUUUCAUUCCAAAUUACAGCUUAAGUAGCCAAAUUUCCUCCAUUUUUAUAUUCAUUUUAAGCUGGAAUUUUGGCAGUUCAAGCAAUUAUAGAUAUACAUAUAUGGCUAUUUCUUAUAGAGGAAGAAAACAGUCUCUGAAAUAUCAGUGUCUAUAUACAUAUACACGUGAACUCCCUUUUUUUUUUCUUACCAUUUUCCUAGAAAAUUCUAAGCAUUCAUAUCAUUAGUUUCACGGUGCAUACCAAAUAUAUAUGAAGUUUUAUUUCAUUAACAAAAGUGUAAAAAAAAAAUAAUUAUUCAAAUUUUCCGUUUUUAAUUUAUAUUUAUCAUAAUACAAACUAUUACAAUUCUAAAAAUUAAUUACAAAUUUUAACAAGUAAAUAUAAAAUUAAAAUUAAUAUAUUCAAAGCUAGUAAUGAAUAUAAAAACCUUAAUUUUACAAUUUCACAUUUAAUUUCCAUAUAAAUAUUUUUUUAUAAAUAUAUGUUACGUAUAAAAGAAUUCAUCCAUGGUGCAUAAUCUUAAUAUUUAUAAGAUGCAGAAGUCAAGAGACGAAUGUGAGGGAGCAGGCAGGGGCCUUGACCCCCUAAAAUAAAAAAAAAAUUCAAUUUAAUUUUCUUAUAAAUAAAGAAAUUAUAAUGAAAUUACAUUUUGACCCAUUUAAAUAAAUUUUUUAAUUUAAUUCUCUUAUAAAUAAAGAAAACAGUAAGAUUGUAUUUUAACCCCUCAAAAUAAAAAUGUUUAGUCCCUUCAAAAUAAUCAAAUUAUAAAAUUAAUAUAUAAUAAAUUUAUAUUUUAUCUAUAAAAAAUUAUAGUUAAAUUUCGACUCUGUAAAUUUGUCUUUGCUGAAUCGUAAAUCAAAUUGAUUAACUAAGAUAGAGUAAGAAAAGGAAACCAAUUUGGCUAUGUUGAUUACAACGUAGUGACCAAUCAAUCAUGUUUCCUUAAAAGUUUAUUAAGUUUAUUUUUAUUUUAUUUUGACGAAAUAAGCGUAAUUUCUAUGUUUGCAAAGCCUUAGACUUUUGAGAAUGACAUUAACAGAACAAAUGGUAAAUUUAGCAAUUGGUUGAGCAGUGAACUAAAGAAUUAUUCACUUGGAUAUCCCAAGUUGGGAUCUCAAAUCAAAGAUUUUAUUUUUAUACAGAAAGUUAACCACGUCAGGGAAUGUAUCAUAACCAUGUUAGAGGCAGCUGAUAUACUUUUGAUGAAGAGUAACUUAGAGGAUGUGAUCAUAGCAAUACACCUUUCCAGGAAAACAUAUUCUCAUAUUCGCCUUAACUAUAUUUGGGCAUUGGGGUAUAAUAUACUUGGGAUUCCAAUAGCCACAAGGGCUCCAUUUCCAUCAAGUGGAUUUCGUUUACCUCCAUGGAUUGCUGGAGCUGCCAUGGCUGCUUUCUCUGUUAGUGUUGUUUGCUGCUCACUCUUGUUAAAGAAUUACGAGAGACCCAAGAAGCUGGG
RNAcentral lists this long non-coding RNA (22682 nucleotides) under Gossypium barbadense (sea-island cotton). Its description in RNAcentral is "long non-coding RNA (GBAR_LNC007685)". Lineage: Eukaryota; Viridiplantae; Streptophyta; Magnoliopsida; Malvales; Malvaceae. The record is from RNAcentral.